AAGGAAGCAUAUGAUGUGUGAAACAUAUGGCCCUGCAUAUGUAUGAAGUUUGGAUGAGAAUAUGCUUCACAAAAUAGUAAUGUAUUUUUAUUUUUUAGUGAAGGGGGUGACGAGGCAAAGAAGGCCAGAAAUUCACACUAAAAACAAGAAGUGGAAUCUCCUUCCCCUUGUCUGCUUGGCUUUCUCCCGUGAGGGGAAAAAGACAACCUAUGAAGUUCCUGAUAGAGUUGAGGUGGAGCAAUAAGUACAGAUUUUUCUGAGUCUUCCACAGACACCAGAGCAGCCAUGUGGCAGAACUCUGUGGCCUCUAUGCUUCAUUGAAGAUGAGUCUCCAGACCAGGCCUACAAAGGUGGCCUGGAUGACAGUGAUGGAAGAGGCCAGGGUAAUGGGAUUGAUGAUUAUAAUAUUCCAAUGGCUCUGGCACCCAACCCAAAAGGUACAGAUGGGCUGCUGCAACUAUAUCAACCUAUAGUUUGCAGUAGCAGUUGGUGGGUACGAUGGGGAGGGGAGAUUGUACCGUAGCCAAGACCAUGAACUGGAUUUUGAACCUUGCACUUUACUCACCAAAUUUCUUAUUAGACUGUCAGCAGGAGAAGUGAAUUUCAUCAACUCUUUUUUUUUUGCUUUAAAGUUUACCAUCAGGUCUUUCUGAAAAGUAAAAUCUUCAGACUAUCCUAAUACAACUACUUGUCACUUUUCUGACCUGCUACAAAAAUGUUGACAUGUGAAUAUAUUCCCACCACUCUUUACCUUGAAGAUGAAAACUACUUUGGUAGUACUUUUCCUCCUUUGAAUGUCAAUACUUUUUACAAUCAGUUGCUUUGAUUUAGAAAUGAAACUGAAUCAAUUUUCCUGAUCCAAUCUCCCCUGAAUUUUCAGGGAAGGACUAGGAAAUAAAAUUUGGAUCUAUAUCUGCGUUUUAAGGCA
Molecule: long non-coding RNA, 928 nt
Filed under: Chrysemys picta bellii (western painted turtle)
Lineage: Eukaryota; Metazoa; Chordata; Testudines; Emydidae
Description: lncRNA (ENSCPBG00000011680.1)
Source: RNAcentral